RNAcentral lists this non-coding RNA (28 nucleotides) under Rattus norvegicus (Norway rat). Lineage: Eukaryota; Metazoa; Chordata; Mammalia; Rodentia; Muridae. The record is from RNAcentral.
UGGUCACUUUGUGUGUUGACACCAUUGU